This is a long non-coding RNA of Girardinichthys multiradiatus, 2779 nucleotides long. RefSeq lists it as uncharacterized. NCBI's taxonomy places the organism in Eukaryota, Metazoa, Chordata, Actinopteri, Cyprinodontiformes, Goodeidae. The record is from RefSeq and is a predicted model, not a curated record. The transcript is spliced from 3 exons.
UGAAGUCAGGUCUUCUUGAUCUUCUCCCUGUCUUGUCAUCUGGCUGUGUGCAGGUUGGUAUGUGCAUGCAGUGCUGUGAUCUCUCUCACUCUCCCCCUGCAGGGUGCAACUGGCAGGUGCAGCUCUACAGGUGUCUUCCAUGAAGACUAAUAAGGAAGAUUUUUAAGGAGCUGGAACCUAGAGGAAGGUGCCAGCCCGUUAGCUCACUCAGAGUGGACUUUCCUCCAACAUUGGCUUCUCCCAUGCCCCGUUGCUCCGUGUCUACUCUGUUGGAUCUCGCUGAAAGCACUUGAGAGAAAGAUGCCAGAUUGUCAGUCUCCCUUUCGCUCCCAGAACCAGCCUCCUCGAAGCUGAGAACCAUUCUUCCUUCGGUUUGCUCACCUGCCUGUCCACCCUCCACCUCAUGCUGGAACACCUUCCGAAAAGCAUCCAGGUGACAAAGAGAGAUGCAGCUUUUUCCACAGAAUUACACCAUCUGCCAAACUCUGCCUCAGUGGACAGACUUGCCUUCCCUGGAACUUUUAACUACAAGUUUGACAAUAAGCUUAAUCUCUACCCACACAUUACUUUACCAUCCAUCCACUGUGAAGAUUUUAACAUCUAACCUCUCUUCUGUAGUGCCCAGUCAGAUUGUCCUCAGACCCCCCUGAUGACUAGCCAAACCAUUUACACUGCUCCAUAUCUGUGCUGACUGUCAGUCUAAUCGCUCAACAUUAUGACGCUCCUUCUUUUAUUACACUUCUAUGUGUUACUGUCAGGAUUUGGUAUGAGGACGCAGAGCAGGUAAGAAUCAAUCUAAAUGUUUGUUUAAUUGUAAUAAGAGCAGAAAACUGUCCUGCACAAAGAGGUGAGAGUGGUAACAUUGGAAGCAUGGAGAACAAAGUGCAUGAAGUCAACGAUAGGAACCAGUAAAGAAUGACAGAGAUUGUAAAUACAGGGGGAAAGUGAGAGGUUGAGGUAAUUGGCAGACUCAAGUGGGCUGAAUGAACCUGAAGAAAGAAGGCCGAGUAAAACAGAAGGAGACUGGGACUAGACAUAAACAGAAUAUCAUCGUCUUUCGUACCGAUCUGACCCACAUGCAGAACACACUCAGGAGACAGGAGAAAGUUUAAAAUGUUUAUUGUAACUGGUUUGAUAAGUGAAUCAGGAAUCUGGGAACAGAGAAUGAGUCUUUAAUUGUACAUGAAAGAUAAGUUGGAUUAGUAAGGUGCUGGAGGAUAUUGGAAGGGAGAAUGUGCUUACAGGAGAUGAGAUGCUGAACCGCCAAGGAGGAAUGAGCGGGGUCUGGUAGCAGAUGAUCAGCCAGAGGAGGGUGAAGUUGAUCCAGGAGGAAGAUGAGCUUGGUAAAGACUAGUGGGUCUUUGCAGGGCAGCUUGGAAGGUGACACAGGGGCAACCUGAGGAAGAACACACACGAGGUGAGAUAAUCCUUAGUGAAUCAGGAACUACGGAGGGCUAGAGCUAUACCACAGUUGCCUAACACUCAGGCAAUGAAAUGCUGGCUGCAGAUUCCUCUUAACCCUCUCCUAAUGAGGCUUGAGGAUCCACACCUGUCGCAGCACCCAGCCACCGUGUUCAGACGCCACCUAGCGGAGGAAUAAGGACCCAGCAGGCAAAAGAGGAGACAAAGUCUCCCAGACCCCAACACAAAGCACUAAAUAAUUAAAGACAAAGAUCUAAAUGGAAUAAACAAGAAUACACAUGGAAUAAACCAAGCACAAGGACUACUUUUUAAAGCAAUACCUAACAAUGAUAAAGAACACUGACUAUAUCAGAAUAAAGAAAUUAACAAUACUGAAAAACACUCAAGAAAUAUGACAUUUGCAAAUAGAAUUUACUUGAAUUGGGCUUUUUAUUGAGUGUUGUUUGGGGACUGGUGGCUUAUGCAACCAUCCUAUCAACCUUCAAAAUUGGAAGACAGGACUUAGAUCUUUUUCACACCUAAUAGUCCAAUAGACCCAAAUAUUAUUGUGACACUGAGCUGUUGCUAUAUAUUUUUGUAUUGGUUGUUUACCCACAAUGUUCUGUGUUGUUGUCCGCUUCCUGCAUUUAGUUCCGUUGAAACAGACUGAGAUCUGUGCUUGAAGAGGUAACGGAGUUCACCUUUUUGGUCCACACCAGUGUUUGAUUGCACAUUCACACCUUGCCAAAAGACCCAGACUAUCCAGGCAAAUGCAACCUCAAACCAUACAGAGCAUCAAGUCAGUAUUUUCAGAGGAAGAUAAGAGAGACCAGAGCCAACAAUGCAGGAGGAUGAAAAUAUGAAGGCAUCAAAGGACAUUGGACAAAGUGCUUCAAAAAGAGCAAAAUACUUGAUCAACUGGAUCACAUCCAAAGGACCAAGCAUGGGUCUCCUCAAAACAAGCUUCACAAACAUAUUUCAGUCCAGAAUAACCACAGGCAGUGCAAUCAAUAUGGGUGAAACAGGUGCAGAGGCAACCAUGUUCCAGAAGCAAUUUUACGCCAUUACUGUCAACGGGACAUUCAUGCAUAGCAUUGAAAACAAUGCCAGACCAUUCAAAAAACACAGACUGACUGUUAGUCCAGAUAUAGCAACACUGAACGUGAAAUGUAUGCAAAAACACCCCACAUACCUGUACAGGUAGUCCUUCACUGUGAUAACAGAUCGCAAACCAUUUAUUGAUAAGUAGGGUUGUCAUGUUAAAAGCAUUUCAAUCUCCAUACCGAUGCUAAGAGUAUUAUUCUAUCAAUACCAUUUUCAAUGCCAAGGCAACCUUUUUGAAGGCACAUUUCUUUCUAAUAAAGAGCAGAAAAUAUGA